CUAGCUACUAGACUAGCACCACCCUAGGAAAACAAAACUUUGCUGAGGCCCACCAGCUCCCCUGAUCUGAGUAAGCUCAAUGUAGCUGCUGAAAAAUAACCAGAAGCCUAUGGGCUCAUUUGCUGGGGCCUGAGUUUAGACUGAGAAGAGGUUUAAUAACCAAAACUACAGGGAACAGAUGGCAACUAUUUCUGAUUCUUUGGUCUAAAAUUUGGAGCAUAGAUUCUACUUGAAUUAAGGUUUGGUCUGUUAGGGUGACUCAAAGAAAAUGCUCUUAAGGUAGGCGAAUUGCCUGAGCUCAGGAAUUCGAGACCAGCCUAGCCAACAUGGUAAAACCCCAUGCCUACUAAAAAUACAAAAAUUAGCCAGGUGUGGUGGCAGGCACCUGUAGUCCCAGCUACUCAGGAAGCUGAGGCACAAAAGUCACUUGAACUGGGGAGGUAGAAGUUGCAGUGAGCUGAUAUCGCGCCACUGUCCUCCCGCCUGGGCGACAGAGUGAGACUCCAUCUCAAAAAAGAAAAAAAAAGAAAUGCUCCCCACCGUUUCCAGAAAGGCUGAAUGCUGACUGAGGAGAGCGGCCAAGAGAGGCUACCCCACAUCACUAUACUCUGUUUCAAGGCUGGGACUGGGAGGAUCCACCUCUGUGCAGCAGGUGGGACCAACAUACAUAAGCAUCGUCGCUGUUCUGGAUCGUGUGGUGUCUCUGGAGGGCCCGGGGCCUGUGGUGCUCAUGGACGGAGGGGCGUGCUGGGUACCCGAGCCCAUUGUGAUCCGGCAGCUCCACUGCUUGUCCUGGAGAACUUCUAUCCAUGCAGUUCCCUAUGACAGGCUCUGAGGAGACACAGCAGAAUAGAGUCAGUGGGGCGGAACUUCUCCCAGCACUGGAAACUCCCAUCCAAGAAAUGUCUUGCAAGGGACAAUGGGCAAGGCUGAGGAGAUCAUGUACACCAACCGCUGAUCCUCAGCCGGCGUCAUGGCUUAGAGGAGCCUGGACCAGCCCUCCAAAAGACGAGCUGUAGGGGAGGGGACCACACCCUUAGGGAAAAAAUUCCACGUAACAGGGCAUGGCUGGACCCCACCGAACCUUCUCUUCUUUCAUUUCUCUGUUGAAUUAACAGUGAUCUAUUCCCAAACCUAAAUGCACAUGAGAAUUACUCUCGGAGCUUUCAGGACCCUCUAGCCCUAGAGGAUGCAUCUGUUCUGUGGCUGGCUGCGUCCUCUCUCCUCCCCCGGUGACCUCAGUGUACCACGCUGCUACUCUCCUCUUUCUACUUCUCUAACUGCUGCUUCUGACUCCUUUGAUGGCCCCUCCACCCUUUCUAAGCAAGUACUCUCCACAUUUUUGUCCUUGACCUUCUCUCUCCCCACACUUACUCUGGCAACAUCAUCUAUUUUCAUGGCUGUACUGCCUUUAUGUAAAGAAUUACUGAAGUGCUCCUUUAAGCCCCAGAUCCAUACUUCCAGCUACUUACUAGGUAUCUUUCCCUGGAUAUCUAACCAGCAUGUAACACUUACCAUGUCCAAUUCCAAACCCAUCCACUUCCCCCAUAACCUGCUACUCCUUCAGACAUUGUCGUUUUGAUGCCUCAUUUUCCAAAUCUUCCAGGCAUAAGCUCUUGGGGCCACUAUUGAUUCCUUACUCCUGGUGCUGAAUCUAACUCUGCAAUGCUGGUCACUUCAGUCCCUUUGUUGCCAAUCUCAUGGAAACCUGAUUACCUCUUGCCUGGAUUAUUAUGCUAGCCUCAUAACCAAUCCCCUACUACUACCCUACAAAGACCAACCGUUCUGUAGUCCAUUCACUUUCAUUUUACAACACUGCCCUGGGCUAUCUUCCAAUCAGUGUCUCAUAUUCCCCUCUCCAUACAUUCUAAGCUCUAGUCAAAUGGGACCACUUAACUGUUCCCCAUCUAUGCACAAUUCUAUGCAUUUGCCCUCACUGUUCCUUCUAUCUGCAAAUAACUGAUUCUUCUGCCUUCACUCCUGCCAAUCCAAAGCAACUCAUCAUUCUACAUCCAUUAUCAUAUGCUAUUGUUUUUAUUAAACUUUUCCUUUCAAACAGAAAUAGAUCAUCUCUUCCUUUAAACUUCAAAAGACUUUGUCUCUGAUUGCUCUAACAUUAUCCUUGGUACCAUGUUCAAUUAUGUACUUAAUCAUUCACAUUAGACUAUAAAUUCUUUGCAGGCAAGAACUAUAUCUCAUGUAUGUCUGUGAAUCUUCAGUGUUCUAGAACAUUGUCCUAUACCCAGUAUUAUGAUCUCUUUCACUGAUGUCAGUAAAUGCUCUUUAGGCCGGGUGCGUGUAAUCCCAGCAUUUUGGGAGGCCGGGGCGGGUGGAUCACCUGAGGUCAGGAGUUUGAGACCAGCCUGGCCAACAUGGUGAAACCCCACCUCUACUAAAAUUACAAAAAUUAGCUGGGUGUGGUGGUGUGCACCUGUAGUCCCAGCUACUCAGGAGGCUGAGGCAGGGGAAUUGCUUGAACUCAGAAGGCAGAGAUUGCAGUGAGCCAAGACCAUGCCACUGCACUCCAGCCUGGGCAACAGAGUGAGACUCUAUCUCAAAAAAGAAUAAUAAAAAUAAAUACUCUCUUAAUAUGGGUUACUAUCCUGUCAGAGCAUACCAUUCUAUGGACUAGAAUUGGAGAGAAAAAGGAAUGAGUACUUCUUCUUGAUCAAGGAUAGUCAAGAAGACUAUCAAAGCCACACCUAUGUUGACAGGAUCCUCCUGGUAGCACUUUUGACUUCAGUCUUUAAAAGCCUGGGACUUGAAAAUAAGUUGUGUUUGCUUGGUUGGUUUUCUGAGUUAAAGCUUCUUGGAAACUACUGAGCUUAUCUUGGAUGAACUGACUCUUGGUGGGACUAAGUUUAAAACAAAAGCUCUUAAUAGCAAACACAGCUGUAAUGCUAACUGUGCCAUUCCAAUGAUCUAUUUAAAUAAUGAAAGUAAAGCAUACUUCUUGAAUGUUGGGUAAAGGAUUUCAGGUCUCUGUAUUUCAAUGGUUUUCUAUAAUGAUUAAGGUUAGGCUGGGACUUAGGGGCAGAGGCAGGAUGGAAAGGGAGGGGAGCUAACUGACAUGCCCAUUGCUAGUAAUGCAAGACAUUCUGGAGAAAAAUUAGAGGAGGGAGCUUCCCAGCUACCAAAGAUGAUGGCAAGUGAGAAAUCUUUUGAAAGUUCUCUGAGCAAAGAGGUAAAAGGAACAGCCAGAAGCCAACUAUUUUGCUACAGAAAGCUAAAAGCCAGCAGAGAGAAGAUAAAAGAAAACCUACACCAGGACUUGCUCUGUGGGAUUAGCCCGCCCGUCCUACCCACUCUGCCCAAUUCCUCUCAGUGGGCACUGCUCGCAUGUUGGCGCCAGGGCCAACCAAAAACCACUGGCAGGAAGUGGGGCAACAUGGUUGUGUGGGAGUGAGGAAAUGGUGAUUCUGUCUGCUUUGCCAAGAAGCAAUGCGAGCAGCCGCUUCUUACUUUUUCAAAAACCUAUAUUGUCUUCUUUGAUAACUAACAUCAUCCACUCAAUUCCUCGGGGUGCUUUUUUCCUUUAAGCCUGAUUAUAUAGUUGGAUGCAAAUCUCAUCAGUUGCAUCUCUUUGCUCUCCGCAAGGACAAACAUGAGCGCUCUCCUGUUUAAAGAUUUUUAAAACAUCAUUACUAACCAUGAGGAAACAGCAAAGCUAACAAAAUGUAUAUAGUCCUGGUUGGAGCCUUCCUGCCUCUUCUGGAGGCCUCAGUGUUUUGGUUUGUUUGCUGUGUCUUUUAAGGCUCUUUUCCUUCCCUCUCUCAGACUUGUUUUUAUCCCUGAGAAUGGGGCCUCUGCAAACCAAAACACCCACCCUCCUUUGGGCUCUGCCUUGUCUGCUGUCUUCCCCGCCUUCAGGUCUGAUGCCUGUAGGCACCAAGACAGAGCAAGCAACCACCUGACAAAUCAUGUAGGGGGCCUUCCUGACUCCCAGCCCAGAGCUCAUCCCUCAGCCAAGCUGGAGUUGAGCACAAGGGUCAUGAGCACAAGUUCUGGGGUCAGGAAGAGUUGGCCGUGAAUCCUGGCUUAGCUGCUUCCUGAGGAGCAGGAGCUCGGGCAAGUUAUCUUGCUUUGCUGGGUCUUAGUUAUCUGUACAACUGGACUGACUCCAUGGGUGUGGAGUGCUUCAUAGAGGUUACUACACUGUAAAGGCUCAAUAAAGUCUAGCAUGAUUUAUAUUCAGUUUAGAGAUGUUAUUUCUGAGUGCAUAAGGACGUGCUGAGUCAGCUGACAAAAACAAACAAGGAAAUUGAUUUAAUCACAGAACCCUGCUUGCAGAAUUAUGAGGGACAAUAUACCCAUAUGUAAAUGAACAAAUGACUCAGGGAAACUUUAAUUUCCAGGAGAAGCCUCUGAUUCAGGACAGACAAAUGUCAGUUAAAAGCCAGAUGAAAAAGAGUAUUAAUAGGAGUCAGGGGAUACCCCAGGGCUCUGUCUGCUCAAGUUUCAGUAUCAUCAGUAGGUCAAAGACCUGGAAGGGCUAGCAUCUUUCACUUGGCAGCUGUGCUUGGAGGGUGCAGAGUGGGCAAGGAGGCGUAAAGGAAAAAAUACAUGACCAGGGGAUCAGAAAACUUGAAGUCAGGACCCAGCUCCCUCACCAGCAAAGUGUUGGCAAAUCUUUCAGCUUCUCCUCAAGGUUCCUGAUCUGAAAAAUGACGGUUGUUUGGGGGCUCGAAAAGACAACACAUGUGAAAGAGUCUUUAAUCAACUGUAAAAGACCAAAUAAGUCAAGUCUGAUUUUUGGUAAGAAUGCUGACCCUGAGUCUAGAAGUCCUUUGUGACACUCUAUAAAUAAGACCCUAUCGACCAUUUUGGGGGGUACAAACAGACUAACCCACUGCCCAAGGAACAUGACAUUCAGGAUCAAAUCUUUGGCAACCCUUUAUGCCAAUUCAGCAGCUACCAAAGUCAUGGAGGAAAGAUGGUUCCCAAGAGCUACAUGCUCGAAUAUUUAUCAAACUAAAGCUAAGAGAGUGCAGAGGUGGGAUGAUCGUCCGAUCACACAAGGGGAAAAGUGCACAAAUGGACACAAUGCACGCCACCCACCUUCCCGGGGAACUUUGGGGCAACCUGCACAAUUCUCUAUUGAAUCUGUCAAUGUUGACUCGUCCUGACUCACUUACUGGGUUUUGAGAGAAAAUGGGAGCAAUAACGUGACUGCAUACUCCCCUUAAAGGUUCUGGGGUAACCCCUCCCACUCUGUCAGCAUUUUACUGCUCUAUGAGGCCUGAGUAAUAAAGCUGAGGCUGACUGAGCUCAGAGAAGAGGAUGUGGUUUUCUUUGUGAGUUCCAGUUGGUAAUCUCAUGGUGUAGAUUGGUUAUGCUGCUGUGUUUAUUUGCAAAGUCAAAAAGAUCAAGUGUGUGUACCACUAUAGAAGAAAGACAAACCUUGUUUUUCCUUCUAGGGUGGCAGGCAGGGAGAUUACGGACAGCAUGGGGCAUGUGAAAUCCUGACACUUCUACAAAUUGGGAAGAAACCUUUGGCAUGCUGCCUGCUUAGUGCUCUCACAGUGCCUGGCCUCAUACUGGCUGGUGGCAAAUCGCCAUCAAGGAAAUAGAUCCAAAUGGCAAACCUUCUUCAUCCACCAGGACCCAACCCACAGGCUACUUAUUGCUGGAAACCUACGUUGUUCCUUGGAUUGAAGUAAUCUCUCCCUCCUCUGGUGCGCCCACAGCACUUGCACCAACAGUGGGUACUCAACAGACUAGCGUGCCUGCCGAAGAAGGGGUCCUCUGACAAUCAGGGGACAAUGGGGAAUUAUGCUCUCCAGACUUUCUACACACACAAGUCACACAGGAAGGAAGGUAAAGAGAAACUAGAGAAAAUAAUUUUUGAAGAAAAACAUUUCAGGAAGUAUUGAAAGUACACGGUAACUCAGCCUGGGGCAGGGGUGGAGGGCAGCAGCACUGUUUGCUGCAGCUAUGCUCCUUCCUCAGUGCCCUGCACACCCGGGACUUGCUCGGUGAGCAUCUCUCGUGUCAGUGACAGCUAGUGUGAGUACUCUUAUGUUCAGCUGCCCCUGACUACCUCUUGACUUUGGGGACAAGUUACUUAAUCUCUGUGCCUCCGCUGUUUCACUGGUAAAUGGGAAUAAGAGUUGGUUAUUCUAGGGUUGUAGGGUUGUUGUAAGGAUUAAAUGAAUCCGUAUGUGAACAGCAUUUGGUGCCUGGCACAUGUGAGCUCAGCCGGGCGCGGUGGCUCAUGCCUGUAAUCCCAGCACUUUGGGAGGCCAAGGCGUGCGGAUCACGAGGUCAGGAGAUCGAGACCAUCCUGGCUAACACGGUGAAACCCUGUCUCUACUAAAAAUACAAAAAAUUAGCCGGGCGUGGUGGCGGGCACAUGUAGUCCCAGCUACUCGGGAGGCUGAGGCAGGAGAAUGGCGUGAGCAUUGUAGGCAGAGCUUGCAGUGAGCUGAGAUCGCACCACUGCACUCCAGCCUGGGUGACAGAGCAAGACUCCGUCUCAAAAAAAAAAAAAAAAAGAAACGUGAGCUCAUCUCCUUUUCAUGCCAACUAUAGUGUGCUAAUCUGCUGGAAGCUUCCAUUUGCAGGGGAAUCUUUUCCACAACAUCCCCAUACCAUUAUCCCACCUCUGUUAGAAAGCUCCCAGGCUGCUAAGGCAGCCUGUUCUGGAGAGUUCUUAUAAAGGUCUUCCACAGGGUGUUGAAAUUUGCUGCAACUUCUAUCUUGAUCUUGGUUCUGCCCCAUAAUAUGAACCCAGAAAAAUCUAAUCCCUUCUUCCAUCUAACAAGCGUGAUGUUUCUCUUAGUUUUUCCUCCCAAUCCUAAACACCCUCAGGUCUGUUAACCAUUCCACCUAUGAUCUGGUUCUGAAAGCUCCCACCCUCCUAUGUCUACUAAGAAUACAGCAGCCACAGGUGAACACAGUACAUCUCACUGGAGCCAAUCUCUCAGCUGGAUGACACCCAUCUGUUCAAAAGGUCAGGAUUGAAUUGGCAUUUCAGGCAACAAUUCCCCCCUAAGAGCGCAUAAUGAGUACAACCUGGCACCACCAAGGCGUUUUCACAGACACCGCUUUACAGCAAGGCCUUCUCUACUGCUCUGUGCUGCAGGACCGAAUUCCCCCUGGGGCUGAGUUUUCAGCACUGACUUUAAAUGACAGGGCAGGAGAUGCAGGUAGUUCCGGGGAGGGAAGGAUGGAAGAAACUGCUCAGUCUCAGGGUUGUACAGUUUACAGAUAAAUUGCUUUUUAUUCCCUUGGAUGGCAAUGGUGAGGAGUGGUAAAUUGCAAGAUUCCUGAUUUUGUCUAGGAUGAAUGCCGUG
RNAcentral lists this long non-coding RNA (7295 nucleotides) under Homo sapiens (human). RNAcentral describes it as "HSALNT0365084". The record is from RNAcentral. Lineage: Eukaryota; Metazoa; Chordata; Mammalia; Primates; Hominidae.